This 253-nucleotide ribosomal RNA is filed under the name uncultured bacterium. Its description in RNAcentral is "partial 16S ribosomal RNA". It matches the Rfam family "Bacterial small subunit ribosomal RNA", at positions 524 to 776 of the family's 1533-position model. The record is from RNAcentral.
GACAGAGGGGGCAAGCGUUGCUCGGAAUCACUGGGCGUAAAGGGCGCGUAGGCGGGAUGGCAAGUCGGUCGUGAAAUCCUUCGGCUCAACCGAAGAACGUCGGCCGAUACUGCCGUUCUUGAGGGAUGCAGAGGAGAUUGGAAUUCCCGGUGUAGUGGUGGAAUGCGUAGAUAUCGGGAGGAACACCAGUGGCGAAGGCGGUUGCCUGGAGCUUUGCUGACGCUGAGGCGCGAAAGCGUGGGGAGCGAUCCGG